AGUGAACGCUGGCGGUAGGCCUAACACAUGCAAGUCGAACGGCAGCACAGUAAGCGCUUGCUCCUACGGUUGGCGAGUGGCGGACGGGUGAGGAAUACAUCGGCAUCUACUUUUUCGGGGGUGACAACGUAGGAAAACUGACGCUAAUACCGCAUACGACCUACGGCUGAAAGCAGGGGAUAUUCGGGCCUUGCGCGAUUGAAUGAGCCGAUGUCGGAUUAGCUAGUUGGCUGGGUAAAGGCCCACCAAGGCGACGAUCCGUAGCUGGUCUGAGAGGAUGAUCAGCCACACUGGAACUGAGACACGGUCCAGACUCCUACGGGAGGCAGCAGUGGGGAAUAUUGGACAAUGGGCGCAAGCCUGAUCCAGCCAUACCGCGUGGGUGAAGAAGGCCUUCGGGUUGUAAAGCCCUUUUGUUGGGAAAGAAAAGCAGCAGGUUAAUACCCCGCUGUUCUGACGGUACCCAAAGAAUAAGCACCGGCUAACUUCGUG
This 492-nucleotide ribosomal RNA is filed under the name uncultured bacterium. Its description in RNAcentral is "partial 16S ribosomal RNA". It matches the Rfam family "Bacterial small subunit ribosomal RNA", at positions 29 to 507 of the family's 1533-position model. The record is from RNAcentral.